RNAcentral lists this long non-coding RNA (1625 nucleotides) under Homo sapiens (human). RNAcentral's name for it is "PREDICTED lncRNA (TCONS_00015671)". Lineage: Eukaryota; Metazoa; Chordata; Mammalia; Primates; Hominidae. The record is from RNAcentral.
GGCCGCUGCGCGCCGGACGGGGCCCAAGCGGGGGUCGGAGCCUCAAGGCUGCGGCGGCGACGAGCUCCGAGCGGGACACUGAACGGCCCGUAUGCGCAAGAUAAGCACGGACUGAAUCAGGUACACGCACCUGCCGGGGACGCACUGACCGAGGUGCGGACGGCGGUACCAGGACAGGUAAAGCCGCGAACACUCGGACCUAAGAACUUGACAGGUACACCCUGCCUGAUGAAGCUACGUACGGCCAGGUGCGCAUCGAGUGAAUCAGGGUGAGAACCUACUUCUUCAUAAAGAGAAUUUGGAGGGAGCUUUUUGUUCUGCGGGGACAACAUCUGGAUUUGAAUACAUCCAUGCUCAAAAGGAGAUUUCUCAUAAUGGACCCAACUGAAAGCACUCAGAGUACAAGGACCGGUGAGCUUUCAAAAGGAGACACUUCGGGAGACUCGCCAGGGGCCCUCGUAUCCCCGGCAGCGCGAGUUUUGGAGGUCAGUGGAGGGCUCUCGCAUCAUGCAUGUAACUUUCAUACUCAAAAACUUACCUUCAUCCUGCAUCCCUCACCCCCCUGCAGAAACUUGGGGCUUGAAUUCAUUUAAAAACAUUUGCGGUUUCAGAAGCCUUCUUUUUAUUAUGAAGCUGCCAAGGAGAUCUUAGAAUGAAAGGCAUUUUUAGAGAUGAGAAAGAAGGAAGCCAGGCCAAGGCUGGGCCGGCUCUCAGCCGUGGGUCUGUAAAGGUGACACGUGGGACAUGGCCACCUGCAGACCCUGCAGGCGGCUGGGCAGAGGCACCCACAGGGACCUGGGUUUGAAUCCCUGCUCUGCCAGUCAUUUCCACAGCGAUCUUGGGGGAAGUUGUGUAACCUCUGGGCCCUGCGACGCCCUUUCCUGGAGCCUGGAGCUGGAACGAAGCCCCUUGGAGCCCUGACAUCAGAGGUGACGUUAGUCUUCGCAGGCAAUGACUCGGCGGAAUGUGAUGCCACUCCCUAACCCGUGUCCGGACUGGCAGAGUGUGUGCCGCCUCCCACCAGGUGGUCUGGCUGCUUUGAUGGAUCUCCUAACUUCUCUGCACCCCAGAGCCCUCAGUGCUGGCCAGACCUUCACUCACUCCUGGGUGACAACCCCGUUCUCAGAUAGUGGGUCCCACAGGCUGGCCUGUGGCGCCCCCUGCUGGUGACUGCAGGGAGAAGGAUGCCCUAAGCCAAAGGAAGUCCUUCCUGGGGUCUAAUCUCUACCUUUUGCAUGAUGAGGCAGCUGAGGUGGCUCGCUUUCUCCUCCACCCCAGAAAAUAAAGUCAUAUGGAGUCCAAGCAGUUAUUUUUCUCUGCUAGGCCAGUCCAUCAUAAGCCCCAAAUGGAGGGGCCCCUGGAAUGAGCCCUAUGCAGGCCUUCUAUGGACAAGGGCCCUUCAGGGAGUAGGGCUGUGGUGAGGAUGGGGUGCAUGUGUGUGGGCUCUCACCUGGGUGUGGGAAGAUCAGAGGGACCCCACAGGUCAGUGUUUGCAGAUGAAAAAAUGAAGGUAGGAGCUGGGCACGGUGGCUCACGUCUGUAAUCCCAGCACUUUGGGAGGCCAAGGCAGGUGGAUCACGAGGUCAGGAGAUCGAGACCAUCCUGGCUAACAUGGUGAAACCCCG